RNAcentral lists this ribosomal RNA (445 nucleotides) under uncultured bacterium. RNAcentral's name for it is "bacterial SSU rRNA". It matches the Rfam family "Bacterial small subunit ribosomal RNA", at positions 331 to 793 of the family's 1533-position model. The record is from RNAcentral.
CCAGACUCCUACGGGAGGCAGCAGUGGGGAAUAUUGCACAAUGGGGGAAACCCUGAUGCAGCGACGCCGCGUGAGUGAAGAAGUAUCUCGGUACGUAAAGCUCUAUCAGCAGGGAAGAAAAUGACGGUACCUGACUAAGAAGCCCCGGCUAACUACGUGCCAGCAGCCGCGGUAAUACGUAGGGGGCAAGCGUUAUCCGGAUUUACUGGGUGUAAAGGGAGCGUAGACGGCAGCGCAAGUCUGGAGUGAAAUGCCGGGGCCCAACCCCGGAACUGCUUUGGAAACUGGGAGACUUGAGUGCAGAAGAGGAGAGUGGAACUCCAUGUGUAGCGGUGAAAUGCGUAGAUAUAUGGAAGAACACCAGUGGCGAAAGCGGCUCUCUGGGCUGUAACUGACGCUGAGGUUCGAAAGCGUGGGUAGCAAACAGGAUUAGAUACCCUGGUAU